CCUGCCUUGCCUGCCUGCCUGCCUGCCUUCCUGUCUGUCUGUCUGUUUGUCUGUUUCUGUCUGUCUCUCCAUUUUAGAUCUGGCCAUCACCAAGAAGAAUUACUAAUUAAUACAGCGCACAAAAACAGCAAAAAGAAAAAAACAACAAAAAAAAAACGAAAAAAGGAUUUUUGCUUCAGAGUUUGGAUUAAACAGCGAAGGCAUUUCAUCACAUGUUGCAGUGAUGUCAGUGUUCGCAUUUAUGGCAUUUUCUUGUGUAUUCUUAGAAAACAAAUGUUUUAAAAUAUUACUUUCAGGAUUGCAAAAGAAACCUGUUGAAUACAGAUGGGACACUGGAAUGAUACAGUGAAAUGGAAGCCAGGACUCACACUUUGGUCCUGAGAGGCAAACAGUGAUGUGAUGACAUCACAACUGGCAGCGGAUGCCAGCAAGAUAUGGAAACUACAGUAUCAGUAGAGAUGGACAAAUUCACAGUGGCAGACGUCAUUUACCAGGACGAGAGGCUCCUCCACACAGGCCAAAAUGUGGUGAAGUUAAAAUGUUUUCUGGAUGGACACCGUGCAGGAACCAUCCAGAGAGACUCAUUUCAGGGGGAGCCUAAACAGGUGUGAGGAUGAGUUGGCGGACUUUGCGCCCUGACCCCCCGGAUAUGCUGGAUUUAUUAGGCACAGUGUGAGCAGUGUGUGCUGCUGUUGCUGUGUGCUGAAGUGGUUAAGGAUGAGAAGCUUCUGUCGUAGCCCCCAGGCUGGGAUGGGCUCUUCCUGGCCGACCCUGGGGCUGGUGGACAGGCCUGCAGCAGGGAUGCUAACACAUGUGUAGCGUGGAUGCUAGCACAUGCAGCAGGGAUGCUAGCACAUGUACCCCUGCACAGAGACACACAUCCCCACUUUGCAGGUAUGAUUUGCGAGAAAAUUGGUUAAAGCGCUGUAUGAUUCUUCUUGGAACGAUGUCUUUUGCUUUUUUCUCAU
Long non-coding RNA from Anguilla anguilla (European eel), 968 nucleotides. RefSeq lists it as uncharacterized. The transcript has 4 exons. NCBI's taxonomy places the organism in Eukaryota, Metazoa, Chordata, Actinopteri, Anguilliformes, Anguillidae. The record is from RefSeq and is a predicted model, not a curated record.